CGAGCAAUCUGCCCUUCUCUUCGGAAUAAGCGUUGGAAACGACGUCUAAUGCCGAAUACGACCUCCUUUCGCAUGAUCGGAGGUGGAAAGCUCCGGCGGAGAAGGAUGAGCUCGCGGCCUAUCAGCUAGUUGGUGUGGGUAAUGGCCCACCAAGGCGACGACGGGUAGCCGGCCUGAGAGGGUGGCCGGCCACACUGGGACUGAGACACGGCCCAGACUCCUACGGGAGGNAG
This 233-nucleotide ribosomal RNA is filed under the name uncultured bacterium. Its description in RNAcentral is "partial 16S ribosomal RNA". It matches the Rfam family "Bacterial small subunit ribosomal RNA", at positions 118 to 351 of the family's 1533-position model. The record is from RNAcentral.